UGUCCUGGCAGGUGAUUUCCUGACAGGGUGAUGGUGCCUCUGCUCUCUCCCGCAGAGCCUGCCCCAGAUCUGUGGUGCAGGAGAAGGGCAGGCGUUUGCUUCUGCUCUGCAGCAGCUCUACACGGCAGUGACGCAGCAGGAGUCCAAGCAGGCUCGGAAACGGCAGCACUCGGAGGACACCGAGGGCCCAGCGCCUGCUGCAGAAACACCAGGGCACCCCCAUCCACCACCUCCAUCCCAGGAGGAUGAAACAGCAUCUUCCAGCGAGGGAACCACGCCGACUUCCUCCCCAGCUCAAAAGCUUCAGCUGCCUGUGGCCAAAGCCAAACCAAAGAAGGCAAAGGGGCUUUUCAGAUGAAAGGUUGCUGCCGAGAGAGGCAGUGCAGAACACCCAUGCAUCCUCUGCCUCCGCUCCUGUGUUUCCUGGUGGACCUGCUCAGCUCAUGGUGCCCUCCCGAGGUGUUUCCAGCCAGGGAGAUGGGGCAUCUCCUUUCUUCAAAAGUGUCUCAGGAUCCUCUUUUCUACCUCUUCCCUGGUUCAGAGCUUGCCCAGGCUGCCUCGUGGUGGAGCCAGCGCUGGACCUGGGGAGAGUGGGAGGGAUGCUGCCAAGUGGGUGUGGGACAGCCGGGGCUCUGGCAGGGCUGUGGGGUUUGGCUGCUCUCAUGUGAGUUUGCAAUAAAGGGCUGUGUCUGGGUGAGAU
RNAcentral lists this long non-coding RNA (700 nucleotides) under Bubo bubo (Eurasian eagle-owl). Its description in RNAcentral is "lncRNA (ENSBOBG00000011429.1)". The record is from RNAcentral. Lineage: Eukaryota; Metazoa; Chordata; Aves; Strigiformes; Strigidae.